Molecule: small RNA, 871 nt
Filed under: uncultured Acidimicrobiales bacterium
Lineage: Bacteria; Bacillati; Actinomycetota; Acidimicrobiia; Acidimicrobiales
Description: bacterial SSU rRNA
Rfam family: Bacterial small subunit ribosomal RNA (bases 1-493)
Source: RNAcentral
AUGGCUGUCGUCAGCUCGUGUCGUGAGAUGUUGGGUUAAGUCCCGCAACGAGCGCAACCCUUGUCCUAUGUUGCCAGCGGGUAAUGCCGGGGACUCGUAGGAGACUGCCGGGGUCAACUCGGAGGAAGGUGGGGACGACGUCAAGUCAUCAUGCCCCUUACGUCCAGGGCUGCACACAUGCUACAAUGGCUGGUACAGAGGGCUGCUAUCCCGCGAGGGUGAGCGAAUCCCAAAAAGCCAGUCUCAGUUCGGAUUGGAGUCUGCAACUCGACUCCAUGAAGUCGGAGUCGCUAGUAAUCCCGGAUCAGCAACGCCGGGGUGAAUACGUUCCCGGGCCUUGUACACACCGCCCGUCAAACCACGAAAGUCGGCAACACCCGAAGCCGGUCACCCAACCACUUUGUGGAGGGAGCCGUCGAAGGUGGGGUUGGUGAUUGGGGUUAAGUCGUAACAAGGUAGCCGUACCGGAAGGUGCGGCUGGAUCACCUCCUUUCUAAGGAGUCACGGUCGAUUCUUGAUCGCGAUUAGCGAUGAAGUAAUCGAGCACUCCCAGUCGAUCAUUGACUACUCGUUCUAUUGCGCAGCCUGCGACGGUUGACUCCUGCAAGACAUUUGCGGGAAUCCCCUCAACGGCUCUGUGCGAAACCGACGGACUGUUCCUAUUCCGCUUUCAGGGAGCGGCGCAUUGCUAUUUGCGCGCCCCUUGAGAACUCCAUAGCGAGCACGAGCAUCUAUAAAUCUCCAAGCUACAAAGAGCCAACGGCGGAUGCCUUGGCGCCUGAAGCCGAAGAAGGACGUGGGAGGCUGCGAUAAGCCACGAGGAGCUGCCUACCAAGCUUUGAUCCCUGGAUGGCCGAAUGGGGAAACCCGG